This 91-nucleotide transfer RNA is filed under the name freshwater metagenome. RNAcentral's name for it is "tRNA-Arg". The record is from RNAcentral.
GCCGCUCGUGGGUCGGCUUCGGCGACCCGGCGCUGCGGACGCUGAUCGAGGACUACACGCGCGAGUCCGGGGUGCGCAACCUCGAGCGCGA